GAUGAACGCUGGCGGCGUGCCUAAUACAUGCAAGUCGAGCGAACAGACGAGGAGCUUGCUCCUCUGACGUUAGCGGCGGACGGGUGAGUAACACGUGGAUAACCUACCUAUAAGACUGGGAUAACUUCGGGAAACCGGAGCUAAUACCGGAUAAUAUAUUGAACCGCAUGGUUCAAUAGUGAAAGACGGUUUUGCUGUCACUUAUAGAUGGAUCCGCGCCGCAUUAGCUAGUUGGUAAGGUAACGGCUUACCAAGGCAACGAUGCGUAGCCGACCUGAGAGGGUGAUCGGCCACACUGGAACUGAGACACGGUCCAGACUCCUACGGGAGGCAGCAGUAGGGAAUCUUCCGCAAUGGGCGAAAGCCUGACGGAGCAACGCCGCGUGAGUGAUGAAGGUCUUCGGAUCGUAAAACUCUGUUAUUAGGGAAGAACAAAUGUGUAAGUAACUAUGUACGUCUUGACGGUACCUAAUCAGAAGGCCACGGCUAACUACGUG
This 497-nucleotide ribosomal RNA is filed under the name uncultured bacterium. RNAcentral's name for it is "partial 16S ribosomal RNA". It matches the Rfam family "Bacterial small subunit ribosomal RNA", at positions 28 to 507 of the family's 1533-position model. The record is from RNAcentral.